This 399-nucleotide ribosomal RNA is filed under the name uncultured Methylobacterium sp. RNAcentral describes it as "bacterial SSU rRNA". It matches the Rfam family "Bacterial small subunit ribosomal RNA", at positions 358 to 774 of the family's 1533-position model. Lineage: Bacteria; Pseudomonadati; Pseudomonadota; Alphaproteobacteria; Hyphomicrobiales; Methylobacteriaceae. The record is from RNAcentral.
GGAAUAUUGGACAAUGGGGGCAACCCUGAUCCAGCCAUGCCGCGUGAGUGAUGACGGCCUUAGGGUUGUAAAGCUCUUUUCUCCGGGACGAUAAUGACGGUACCGGAGGAAUAAGCCCCGGCUAACUUCGUGCCAGCAGCCGCGGUAAUACGAAGGGGGCUAGCGUUGCUCGGAAUCACUGGGCGUAAAGGGCGCGUAGGCGGCUGAUUUAGUCGAGGGUGAAAGCCCGUGGCUCAACCACGGAAUGGCCUUCGAUACUGAUUGGCUUGAGACCGGAAGAGGACAGCGGAACUGCGAGUGUAGAGGUGAAAUUCGUAGAUAUUCGCAAGAACACCAGUGGCGAAGGCGGCUGUCUGGUCCGGUUCUGACGCUGAGGCGCGAAAGCGUGGGGAGCAAACA